This 496-nucleotide ribosomal RNA is filed under the name uncultured bacterium. Its description in RNAcentral is "partial 16S ribosomal RNA". It matches the Rfam family "Bacterial small subunit ribosomal RNA", at positions 28 to 507 of the family's 1533-position model. The record is from RNAcentral.
GAUGAACGCUGGCGGCGUGCCUAAUACAUGCAAGUCGAGCGAACAGAUGAGGAGCUUGCUCCUCUGACGUUAGCGGCGGACGGGUGAGUAACACGUGGAUAACCUACCUAUAAGACUGGGAUAACUUCGGGAAACCGGAGCUAAUACCGGAUAAUAUAUUGAACCGCAUGGUUCAAUAGUGAAAGACGGUUUUGCUGUCACUUAUAGAUGGAUCCGCGCCGCAUUAGCUAGUUGGUAAGGUAACGGCUUACCAAGGCAACGAUGCGUAGCCGACCUGAGAGGGUGUACGGCCCCCCAGAACGUGAGCACCGUCCCCGCCUCCUAGGGACGGCCGAGACGGGUAUCUUCCGCAACAGGGGGAAAGCCUGCCGGAGCAACGCCGGGGGGGUGAUGAAGGGCUUCGGGUCGUAAAACCUUUUUCUGGGGGAAAAACAAAUUUGUAAGUAACUAUGCCCGUUUGACCGGAACCUAUAAAGAAGCCCCGGCCAACCACCUG